GGCAGCGUGGUGCGGUGGAAGCACCUGGCGGCUAUCAAGCCGUGAGGUCAAUGGAUCGAAACCAUCAGCUGCCG
Ancylostoma duodenale is the source of this 74-nucleotide non-coding RNA. The record is from the annotation of a GenBank genome assembly. Lineage: Eukaryota; Metazoa; Nematoda; Chromadorea; Rhabditida; Ancylostomatidae.